Long non-coding RNA from Limulus polyphemus (Atlantic horseshoe crab), 223 nucleotides. RefSeq lists it as uncharacterized. The record is from RefSeq and is a predicted model, not a curated record. NCBI's taxonomy places the organism in Eukaryota, Metazoa, Arthropoda, Merostomata, Xiphosura, Limulidae. The transcript has 3 exons.
UGACAGUCAACAGCAAAAAUACAAGUGGACCCAGCCAAUGAUUACACCCGAGAUGGUUGCAUCACUCUAUACGGACAACACUGAACAGCAGCUGGCAGCCACCCAGAAGUUUAGAAAGCUUUUAUCAAAAGAACCUAACCCACCAAUUGAUGAAGUUAUUCAGACUGGAAUAAUUCCCCGGUUUGUUGAAUUUCUACAACGAACAGACAAUUGUACACUUCAG